UCUGGCAACAUAGAGACUAAGGAACAGG
This 28-nucleotide non-coding RNA is filed under the name Cricetulus griseus (Chinese hamster). Lineage: Eukaryota; Metazoa; Chordata; Mammalia; Rodentia; Cricetidae. The record is from RNAcentral.